CCUACGGGAGGCAGCAGUGAGGAAUAUUGGUCAAUGGGCGCGAGCCUGAACCAGCCAAGUAGCGUGAAGGAUGACUGCCCUACGGGUUGUAAACUUCUUUUAUAAAGGAAUAAAGUGAGGCACGUGUGCCUUUUUGUAUGUACUUUAUGAAUAAGGACCGGAUAACUCCGUGCAAGCAGCCGCGGUAAUCCGGAGGAUCCGAGCGUUAUCAGGAUUGAUUGGGUUGAAAGGGAGCGUGGAUGGGUUGUUAGGUCAGUUGUGAAAGUUUGCGGCUCAACCGUAAAAUUGCAAUUGAUACUGGCAGUCUUGAGUACAGUUGAGGUAGGCGGAAUUCGUGGUGUAGCGGUGAAAUGCUUAGAUAUCACGAAGAACUCCGAUUGCGAAGGCAGCUUACUAAACUGCCACUGACAUUGAUGCUCGAAAGUGUGGGUAUCAAACAGGAUUAGAUACCCGUGUAGUC
Molecule: ribosomal RNA, 460 nt
Filed under: uncultured bacterium
Lineage: Bacteria
Description: partial 16S ribosomal RNA
Rfam family: Bacterial small subunit ribosomal RNA
Source: RNAcentral